UACGGAGGGUGCAAGCGUUGUCCGGAAUCACUGGGCGUAAAGGGCGCGUAGGCGGCUCGGUAAGUAGGGGGUGAAAUCCUGCGGCUUAACCGCAGGGCUGCCUUCUAAACUGUCGAGCUCGAGCACGGUAGAGGCAGAUGGAAUUCCCGGUGUAGCGGUGGAAUGCGUAGAGAUCGGGAAGAACAUCAGUGGCGAAGGCGGUCUGCUGGGCCGAUACUGACGCUGAGGAGCGAAAGCGUGGGGAGCGAACAGG
Molecule: ribosomal RNA, 253 nt
Filed under: uncultured bacterium
Lineage: Bacteria
Description: partial 16S ribosomal RNA
Rfam family: Bacterial small subunit ribosomal RNA
Source: RNAcentral